RNAcentral lists this ribosomal RNA (253 nucleotides) under uncultured bacterium. RNAcentral describes it as "partial 16S ribosomal RNA". It matches the Rfam family "Bacterial small subunit ribosomal RNA", at positions 524 to 776 of the family's 1533-position model. The record is from RNAcentral.
UGCGUAGGGUGCAAGCGUUAAUCGGAAUUACUGGGCGUAAAGCGUGCGCAGGCGGUUUUGUAAGUCUGAUGUGAAAUCCCCGGGCUCAACCUGGGAAUUGCAUUGGAGACUGCAAGGCUAGAAUCUGGCAGAGGGGGGUAGAAUUCCACGUGUAGCAGUGAAAUGCGUAGAGAUGUGGAGGAACACCGAUGGCGAAGGCAGCCCCCCGGGUCAAGAUUGACGCUCAUGCACGAAAGCGUGGGGAGCAAACAGG